This 465-nucleotide ribosomal RNA is filed under the name Vreelandella stevensii. Its description in RNAcentral is "partial 16S ribosomal RNA". It matches the Rfam family "Bacterial small subunit ribosomal RNA", at positions 338 to 795 of the family's 1533-position model. Lineage: Bacteria; Pseudomonadati; Pseudomonadota; Gammaproteobacteria; Oceanospirillales; Halomonadaceae. The record is from RNAcentral.
CCUACGGGAGGCAACAGUGGGGAAUAUUGGACAAUGGGGGCAACCCUGAUCCAGCCAUGCCGCGUGUGUGAAGAAGGCCCUCGGGUUGUAAAGCACUUUCAGUGAGGAAGAACGCCUGGUGGUUAAUACCCAUCAGGAAAGACAUCACUCACAGAAGAAGCACCGGCUAACUCCGUGCCAGCAGCCGCGGUAAUACGGAGGGUGCGAGCGUUAAUCGGAAUUACUGGGCGUAAAGCGCGCGUAGGUGGCUUGAUAAGCCGGUUGUGAAAGCCCCGGGCUCAACCUGGGAACGGCAUCCGGAACUGUCAAGCUAGAGUGCAGGAGAGGAAGGUAGAAUUCCCGGUGUAGCGGUGAAAUGCGUAGAGAUCGGGAGGAAUACCAGUGGCGAAGGCGGCCUUCUGGACUGACACUGACACUGAGGUGCGAAAGCGUGGGUAGCAAACAGGAUUAGAUACCCCAGUAGUC